CACAAAUGGAGCUUUCCCUGCUGGAGGCACAUUGCAGUUCCCCCUUGGAAAAAAGAAAGUUUAAGAAGCAGUCUCUCCGCAGGAGCCUUUAAUGUUAUUUUCAAAGGCUGAGGUUUGAAACUGAAAGGCGCUUUGGUUUCCAGGGUAUUGCCAACGGGGCUGAAAUUACAUUGCCACAGCCAAGGAAGGUCGUUCAUGUUUAGUCAGCUCUGCUGUCACCAGGGCUCUGCCUCUUAACUUUGCUGGCCUGUCAUAGACAGGGUAAGGGCACAUCAUUUUUGUACUUUGCUAUAUAGCAUGGACACAAGUCUGGAAGGUCUGCAAAACUCUUUUUUUUUUUUUUCCAUCAGGUUUCAUUCAGUCUGCAUUUUUUCUGCUGCUGUGAAUUUCCCAGUCUCAUGGAAUAUCAAAUCGUUCGGAGAUACUGAUUCUGUUCCUGUUCAUAAAGGAGGACUUAUGCAUGAGGCUGAAAUUUCUGAUAUCAGAGGAGAGAGGCUGGUUUGGAGCAGAGGACUGGAGUGGAUAACCAAACUUCAUCAUCACCAUCCUCCCUGUUCCCGCAGCAGUAACUGUGCUCAUUAUGGGAUGCUCUUGGGCUGGAGGAGCAGGAGGGGUUUGUUCUUUGUCCAGGUACAGCUGCAGCCCCAUUCCCCUCCUACUCUUUCAAACCAGCUGGGGUGGAGAAGAGGAAGAAAGAGCUGGCAGUGGAGGGGGAGUCCAGAGGAACUGCUUCUUGUGCUUGAAAUCUGAUCCUAUUUAUCUGCUGAUCUUUCUCCAUCUCCAUUCCCCCCUCCUUCCGUGUCAGCCCAGUGUUGGGUUACCGAUGGGAGCGAGGAGAGCAUCGCCUGCUCUUAGGAAGUUUGCAGCUGCAUCCAUCCUGGGAAGCAGACACCAGGACAAACAGCUUGUCAGAAAGGUUGGCUGAAAGUUCCCCUUAGCUUGGCUAAAAUUUCUGAGAAAGCUGGAGGUUCUCAUGUGGUUGGAAGAGCAGCUCUCACCCCGAACAAAAUCCACCCCUUGCCAAAAAUUCACAGGAGUUGGCAACCUGGGCCACGGGACUAAGUGUUAAAAGGGGGAACACCGAUACUGUGCUACGCAGGUGUUGAGUCUAUGUGAUCCCUCCUGGCUUUGAAAUCCGGGUAAUGGCAAGAACACAGCCAUUUGUUAGCGAGCACGGCUUCUGCUCACCGGCUCUCCCGGGUCAGAGCCAAUGGAGCGAGGAGCAAAACUGGGGCAGAAAUGUCUCAGGAGCUUUUCAGACCUCUAGGGGUCUGAACACUGCUCUCUGACAUAUCAUCUGUAAUUAACCCUCUAUACAGAUAGCAUACCCAAAGUCUACAGCUCUCAUUGCAUUUCAGACCAGCUGAGCAAUUGCACGUUUUGCUCCAGUUUUGAAUUUACCCAAGAGUCAUAAGCAGAGGCUCUUCCUCUGCAGGAACAGAGGGAUCCAUUUCACAGGAUUUUACUGUGAUUUCAAAUCACUUUUCAAAUCACUUUCUACUGUAAAAUGAGAGCUUUACACACAGUUUUGGAUUCUUGUGGCAUGAGUUUCUGUGGGGGAAGGAUUAUUUUUAAGACAACAGAAACUUUUUACUUUAAUGUAAUUAUGGUCUGAAUUUGAUUUUUCUGUUUUAUAUUGCAUAACAUCAGAUUAAAAGGAUCAAAAGUAUCCAUUUCCAAACAGAAAAGUUCCAC
This 1695-nucleotide long non-coding RNA is filed under the name Anas zonorhyncha (Eastern spot-billed duck). RNAcentral's name for it is "lncRNA (ENSAZOG00000004291.1)". Lineage: Eukaryota; Metazoa; Chordata; Aves; Anseriformes; Anatidae. The record is from RNAcentral.